UACUUUAUAAUUUUACUUUCAAAUCCUCCUUCAAUAAAAUUUUUCAUUUUUAUAUUCGUAUUAAAUAAUUUUAUUGUAACUCAUUACUACUUAAAUAUAAGCUACACCUUGAUCUGAAAUAAAUUAAUAUAAAAAUUUAUGAAAAUUAUUAUUCUUUUAAAAUAUUCUGAUAACGACGGUAUAUAAACUGAAUACUAAUUUAAGAAAGGUCCAACGAGGAUUAUCGAUCACAGAACAAGUUCCUCUGAAUAGACUAAAAUACCGCCAAAUUUUUUAAGUUUCAAGAUCUUAACUACUAC
RNAcentral lists this ribosomal RNA (299 nucleotides) under Sphyracephala munroi. RNAcentral's name for it is "partial 12S ribosomal RNA". Lineage: Eukaryota; Metazoa; Arthropoda; Insecta; Diptera; Diopsidae. The record is from RNAcentral.